CAUUACAAACAGGUGAAUUGAAAACCAACAGGUGUCGUAAGAAAAAAUAAAUAUUUAAAUUAAUUCUUUAAGACGUUCAUAUCAAUGGAAUUCCAAACAUUAAAUAACACCAAGUUGAAUUAAUUGAAAAGAUGACCAUGUCGCCGUUAAUUAAGAGAGAUUCAUAAUGGAAAAGACGAUUAUUCUUCUUUUUCCCAAGCGUGGGAUCGUAAAAAAAAUAUAUUUAUAGUUUUAAGCAAUAUAUUUCAUGUUUUAUGCGCAAUUUAAUCCAAUGAAAUAAAAAGUUUUUUAUUCAUGUGAAAAAUA
Stomoxys calcitrans (stable fly) is the source of this 306-nucleotide long non-coding RNA. RefSeq lists it as uncharacterized. The record is from RefSeq and is a predicted model, not a curated record. NCBI's taxonomy places the organism in Eukaryota, Metazoa, Arthropoda, Insecta, Diptera, Muscidae. The transcript has 2 exons.